CUGCACUUUUUAAUGUUGAUGAGUCUCACAUAUUUAAAAAAUCCUCUUGUUACUAAACUUUGGAGCCCAUAGUCUAUUAAACUUUCAUUUAUUAAAUCCUGCAUUAGUUCAACAAAAAAGUCUGCAUAUAAUCACUUGAACCACCUCGGAUACCAUUCUGUACAUGAAUAUAUCUCUCAUAACAUUUUUCAUAUAAAUUGCUGAUUCCAGGUAUUAAAAUUUUUAUCCUCCAGUAAAAUUAUUCCUCUGACAGGAUGUGUUGUCUACUGAAAAUGAAAUAUUUUGUUAUUAAAUUAAGUUUGUUAAUUCAAUCAAAAAGUAAUGAAGAAUGAUAAGUAUAAUAUAUUGUAUUUCAUUGUUAUUGCCAUCUAUGACCUCAAUACAGUCUGCUCAAGUCAUUCUCUUCUCUAAAAAAA
This 416-nucleotide long non-coding RNA is filed under the name Mytilus galloprovincialis (Mediterranean mussel). The record is from RNAcentral. Lineage: Eukaryota; Metazoa; Mollusca; Bivalvia; Mytilida; Mytilidae.